Molecule: ribosomal RNA, 253 nt
Filed under: uncultured bacterium
Lineage: Bacteria
Description: partial 16S ribosomal RNA
Rfam family: Bacterial small subunit ribosomal RNA
Source: RNAcentral
GACGUAGGAUGCAAGCGUUGUCCGGAUUUAUUGGGCGUAAAGAGUUCGUAGGCGGUUCGUUAAGUCUGAUGUUAAAGAUCGGGGCUCAACCCCGAGACUGCAUUGGAUACUGGCGAGCUGGAGUGCGGUAGAGGUUAGUGGAAUUCCCAGUGUAGCGGUGAAAUGCGUAGAUAUUGGGAAGAACACCAGUGGCGUAGGCGACUAACUGGGCCGUAACUGACGCUGAGGAACGAAAGCCAGGGGAGCGAAUGGG